Molecule: long non-coding RNA, 524 nt
Filed under: Vulpes vulpes (red fox)
Lineage: Eukaryota; Metazoa; Chordata; Mammalia; Carnivora; Canidae
Description: lncRNA (ENSVVUG00000025010.1)
Source: RNAcentral
CUAGAGCCAGGGGAGCCCUCAGGGGGGAACAGGCCCCCAGGUACCCCGAGAACAUCGUAGUCGGGGCUGCUGCCAGGCAUGAUCACGGGGCAGCAGAUGCCUGCACCCUGCACUUCGCUGCCCAAGGUGGGGGCAGCCGGGCAGGAGGGAAACUAAGGAAGGCCCCCCCGCCGGCACGUGAAAGGGCAUCCUCGGAGGUCCCCGCUCUGCAGCUCAGCUGGAGGAAACGCCCUGGGAAAGGCCGCGACGCGGGCGCCUGGCCCCGGGAGCCACUUGGAGGUGCCACCGCAGAACCUCCUGCCCAGCAGGGUCGGCCAGCUGCUGCCACCCCAGCCCAGCCCAGAACACCCCCCACCUGCUUUCCCAGAGUGCACCUGGGCCGUGGGGACACCACGGGGAGGUUGUGCAAAUGCUGCCCUGUGUCCCCCUCUUGCCCCGGAGAUGCCUGCCCCCCCCCAGGGGCCCUGGGCGCCCACAUCCCCUCCCAUGAGGCAGAGCAUGAGCAGCAGGGGUUGGAAAGGUGA